This 250-nucleotide ribosomal RNA is filed under the name uncultured bacterium. RNAcentral describes it as "partial 16S ribosomal RNA". It matches the Rfam family "Bacterial small subunit ribosomal RNA", at positions 524 to 773 of the family's 1533-position model. The record is from RNAcentral.
AACGUAGGAGACAAGCGUUAUCCGAAUUCACUGGGCGUAAAGCGCAUGCAGGCGGCCGGAUAAGUUGGCUGUGAAAUCUCCUGGCUCAACUGGGAGAGGCCGGUCAAUACUGUCUGGCUCGAGGGCGACAGAGGGAGGUGGAAUUCCGGGUGUAGUGGUGAAAUGCGUAGAUAUCCGGAGGAACACCAGAGGCGAAGGCGACCUCCUGGGUCGUACCUGACGCUCAGAUGCGAAAGCUAGGGGAGCGAAC